Molecule: ribosomal RNA, 254 nt
Filed under: uncultured bacterium
Lineage: Bacteria
Description: partial 16S ribosomal RNA
Rfam family: Bacterial small subunit ribosomal RNA
Source: RNAcentral
UACAGAGGGUGCAAGCGUUGUUCGGAAUUAUUGGGCGUAAAGGGCGCGUAGGCGGUGCGGUAAGUCUGUAGUGAAAUCUCUGGGCUCAACUCAGAGUCUGCUAUAGAAACUGCCGUGCUUGAGUGUGGGAGAGGUGAGUGGAAUUCCCGGUGUAGCGGUGAAAUGCGUAGAUAUCGGGGAGGAACACCUGUGGCGAAAGCGGCUCACUGGACCACAACUGACGCUGAGGCGCGAAAGCUAGGGGAGCAAACAGG